ACUGCAGUCGAGCGAAUCUUUGGGAGCUUGCUCCCAUUGGUUAGCGGCGGACGGGUGAGUAACACGUGGGCAACCUGCCUGUAAGACUGGGAUAACUUCGGGAAACCGGAGCUAAUACCGGAUAAUCUUUUUCCUCUCAUGAGGAAAAAUUGAAAGUCGGUUUCGGCUGACACUUACAGAUGGGCCCGCGGCGCAUUAGCUAGUUGGUGAGGUAACGGCUCACCAAGGCGACGAUGCGUAGCCGACCUGAGAGGGUGAUCGGCCACACUGGGACUGAGACACGGCCCAGACUCCUACGGGAGGCAGCAGUAGGGAAUCUUCCACAAUGGACGAAAGUCUGAUGGAGCAACGCCGCGUGAGCGAUGAAGGCCUUCGGGUCGUAAAGCUCUGUUGUUAGGGAAGAACAAGUACCGGAGUAACUGCCGGUACCUUGACGGUACCUAACCAGAAAGCCACGGCUAACUACGUGCCAGCAGCCGCGGUAAUACGUAGGUGGCAAGCGUUGUCCGGAAUUAUUGGGCGUAAAGCGCGCGCAGGCGGUCCUUUAAGUCUGAUGUGAAAGCCCACGGCUCAACCGUGGAGGGUCAUUGGAAACUGGGGGACUUGAGUGCAGAAGAGGAAAGCGGAAUUCCACGUGUAGCGGUGAAAUGCGUAGAGAUGUGGAGGAACACCAGUGGCGAAGGCGGCUUUCUGGUCUGUAACUGACGCUGAGGCGCGAAAGCGUGGGGAGCAAACAGGAUUAGAUACCCUGGUAGUCCACGCCGUAAACGAUGAGUGCUAAGUGUUAGGGGGUUUCCGCCCCUUAGUGCUGCAGCUAACGCAUUAAGCACUCCGCCUGGGGAGUACGGCCGCAAGGCUGAAACUCAAAUGA
RNAcentral lists this ribosomal RNA (871 nucleotides) under bacterium E3B11print. Its description in RNAcentral is "bacterial SSU rRNA". It matches the Rfam family "Bacterial small subunit ribosomal RNA", at positions 53 to 908 of the family's 1533-position model. The record is from RNAcentral.